This 753-nucleotide ribosomal RNA is filed under the name uncultured Candidatus Poseidoniales archaeon. RNAcentral describes it as "bacterial SSU rRNA". It matches the Rfam family "Archaeal small subunit ribosomal RNA", at positions 102 to 857 of the family's 1478-position model. The record is from RNAcentral. Lineage: Archaea; Methanobacteriati; Thermoplasmatota; Candidatus Poseidoniia; Candidatus Poseidoniales.
GGGUAACCUGCCCUAUGCUGGAUAAUAACCUCGGGAAACCGAGAAUAAUGAUCCAUAGUUCACUACGCCUGGAACGGUGAGUGGAUGAAAGCUCCGGCGGCAUAGGAUGGGCCUGCGGCGUAUCAGGUUGUAGGGGGUGUAACGUACCCUCUAGCCCUCUACGCGUACGGGUGUUGGGAGACAUAGCCCGGAGAUGGAUUCUGAGACACGAAUCCAGACCCUACGGGGUGCAGCAGGCGCGAAAACUUGGCAAUGCGAGAAAUCGUGACCAGGGAACUCCAAGUGCAUCGGGUAAGACCGGUGCUUUUCUUGACUCUAAAUAGGUCUUGGAAUAAGGGGUGGGUAAGGACGGUGCCAGCCGCCGCGGUAAUACCGGCGCCUCAAGUGGUAGUCGCUUUUAUUGGGCCUAAAACGUCCGUAGCCGGUCUGAUACAUUCGUGGGUAAAUCAACCAGCUCAACUGGUUGAAUUCUGCGAGGACGGUCAGACUUGGGACCGGGAGAGGUGUGGGGUACGCUCAGGGUAGGGGUAAAAUCCUGUCAUCCUGAGCGGACCACCUGUUGCGAAGGCGCCACACUAGAACGGAUCCGACGGUCAGGGACGAAGCCUAGGGGCACGAACCGGAUUAGAUACCCGGGUAGUCCUAGGUGUAAACGCUGUGGACUUGAUGUUGGGGGUGCUCCGAGCACUCUCAGUGUCGAAGCGAAGGUGAUAAGUCCACUGCCUGGGAAGUACGGUCGCAAGGCUGAAACUU